This 561-nucleotide ribosomal RNA is filed under the name uncultured bacterium. RNAcentral's name for it is "bacterial SSU rRNA". It matches the Rfam family "Bacterial small subunit ribosomal RNA", at positions 338 to 916 of the family's 1533-position model. The record is from RNAcentral.
CCUACGGGAGGCAGCAGUGGGGAAUAUUGGACAAUGGGCGAAAGCCUGAUCCAGCAAUGCCGCGUGAGUGAUGAAGGCCUUAGGGUUGUAAAGCUCUUUUACCAGGGAUGAUAAUGACAGUACCUGGAGAAUAAGCUCCGGCUAACUCCGUGCCAGCAGCCGCGGUAAUACGGAGGGAGCUAGCGUUGUUCGGAAUUACUGGGCGUAAAGAGUACGUAGGCGGUUAUUCAAGUCAGAGGUGAAAGCCCGGGGCUCAACCCCGGAACUGCCUUUGAAACUAGAUAGCUAGAGUCUUGGAGAGGUUAGUGGAAUUCCGAGUGUAGAGGUGAAAUUCGUCGAUAUUCGGAAGAACACCAGUGGCGAAGGCGACUAACUGGACAAGUACUGACGCUGAGGUACGAAAGCGUGGGGAGCAAACAGGAUUAGAUACCCUGGUAGUCCACGCCGUAAACGAUGAUAACUAGUUGUUCGGGCACUUGGUGCCUGAGUGACGCAGCUAACGCAUUAAGUUAUCCGCCUGGGGAGUACGGUCGCAAGAUUAAAACUCAAAGGAAUUGACGG